CACUUUGUCCGGAACGAACGGCGGAUGCCAAUACCAUCCGUUAAUGACGGUACCGGAAGAAUAAGCACCGGCUAACUACGUGC
Molecule: ribosomal RNA, 83 nt
Filed under: uncultured bacterium
Lineage: Bacteria
Description: partial 16S ribosomal RNA
Source: RNAcentral